Molecule: non-coding RNA, 3758 nt
Organism: Zonotrichia albicollis (white-throated sparrow)
Lineage: Eukaryota; Metazoa; Chordata; Aves; Passeriformes; Passerellidae
Source: RefSeq, a predicted model, not a curated record
CGGCUGCGCGGUGCGAUAAAAAAUGGAAAGCAGAAAUCUCAUAAAAACAGCCCUUUCCCUCCGGAGGAACAGCUGCUACGGUCCCCUACAGCACCCCAGUUCAAGGCAGGAGUGUCAUCUGUACAGAGGAGCAUACUGAAAGGCAUGAAGAUGCUUUCUUAAAGAGUGAUACAACUAGAAAAUAAAAAUAUCCAGUUUUAUGAUGUGUCCCUGUGUGAAACCACUCUGAAUGGCUCAAGCCCAAGGAUCUGCCCAACAUCUUUGAUCGCACAGGUAGAUGAGCCCUCGCCACUGAACAUAUGGAGUAAGUCCCUGGCUGCCAGCAUAUUGCAGGAGCUUGGACAGAAAUUGCAGCUCCUUGCUGGGUAUGAGACUGGCAACAUGCUAACCUGUUGCUGGAGAGAGCUCAGUGAGGGCAUUGAUUACCAUAAUUAGCCCCAGAAGUCACUAAUGUACAAAAGUGUGCAACCAGGUGGAGCCAAGUCUCAGAGGAGGUUGGAAGCGGUGCUCUUGAAUCCAAGUGUAGAGUGUGAAAUCACUGCCACCAGAAGAGAGCAAUGCAAGAAAAGCUUUGCUUUACCAGCCUCCACUGCAAAGGAAGGAAGCAAACCUGAGACAGCACCAAACAUGUCUCUCAGAAGUAAAGCUCCUGCUGUGCAAAUUGAUGCCGGUCAGGCACCCAUCACAAUCAGCUUCUCACUCUCAUCCAACAUCUGGGAAGAAAGAGGGGCUUCUGCUUUACUGAAUAGUAAAAUCAGAUCAGAGAAGCUGCCUGUGGCUGGGCUCAGUGUAAAUAAAAGAAGGAAUGUGCUGUAUGCCAUUAAUUCCCAGUGAGGAAUCUGAACUAAGGCUGGACAAGGAUGGCUCCAGUGCAAACACUGCUGGGACAUGCUGUGGGUGACAUCCCUACUGUGCUUCACAGAGUUAUGGGAAAGGAAGGAAAGAUGUGCAGCAGAAGUAAUCAUCAGAUUUCCUGUCUACCACACCUGGAGUACGAUCAUCUCAUUGACAAUCAAAUGUCCACUGAGGAGCAGAUUAAAACAGUCUGUCUCAUCUUCAAAAACAAACAAGGACACUUGUGAAAACAAAACAAAGCAGCUGUAUGCAGGAAAAACAAAAACAGAGGUAUGACUUGUGCUCAGCACGUCAUUAAAUUGUGGAACUCGUUGCCACAGGAUGUUGAGGAGGCCAAAAGUAUGUACAUCCAAGGAAAGCUGCUCUUUGCCAAUUCUCUUAUCAUUGGGUACAGCCAGUCUACUAAAGAGCUUAAAAAUAGCUAAGACAAAGAGUGAUUGUCACAUGGGUUACUUCCAAGUGAUUUCACAUUCAGGAAUGGACCUUUCUUUAAUAGCACAAAGUAACGGAAAGGAUUGGUCGCUCUCUCUUUGGAAAUCUGAGAUUAUUUUCAGUUCUCAUCCACGCAGCUGGAGAAGGUCAGGAAGCAAUCUUUAAAUAUUAAGAUUUGAGCACAAAUCAAGCCAACUAAUGACACUUAUUUUGGGACCUUGUAAUAGAGUUGCAGUUAUUUUUAAAAUGCAACUGUAAAAUGUUUUUCAGUAAGCCAGAAUUACCUAUAAGAGUCAAUAUACACCAGGAGUGUGGUAUAAAUUUGAGCUGUUAUACAUUAUUAUUUCUGUUUUGACUGUACAUUCCCCAUUUAUGGUGCCUGCCUUCUGUUUCAGUUCUCAAGUGAGAAAGUCAGUACACAACUCUAGGUCUAGUUACUUCUGUUACAAAUACACAUAAAAAGAAUUUGUGUGUUAUUUCAAAAUCUGAACCUCUUAAGAGUGGUGGUAAAGGGAGAGGACCAUGGAUGUCAGAGGGUCCAGAAGGAUGAAACGAGUAAGUAGAAAAAAACAUGCACAAUAAUUUCAGUUUUACUGGCAGUAUCAUAAACAGUUCCUAGAAACUUUGGGGAAUAAGACACAAAUGGUCUUGGGCAGCCUAGGCCUCAAGAAGCAAAAGAAAUCAAAAUGAGUGAGGAAAGUAAGGAGUGGCAACAUCCUCUUUAGGACUGAGGAAGCCAGCUGCAAGUUAAAGCACUGAUGUACUUCCAGUCCUAUCCAUAUCCUAGAUCACUGAGUGCUCACAAAAGCCAGCCUAGAAGAGGGACUGGAUUUCAUGACCAUGAAGUGAUUUAAGCUGUCAUAGAAGUGCAUCCUCUAAAGCAAACUGUCCAGGAGGCCUUUAAGAUUUAAAGCUGAGAAGGUACAAGGGUCAAGAUAUGCUGAUCACAUGAAAGUAGUCAAGUUUUGGUCCCAUUCAACCCUUUUACAAUAAGCCACUUUGUAACAAAGAAACUUUUUCCUUGUCUAUUAAUUGCAGGGGCUUUUUCAGAAUCCUGUGUUCGAUACAGACAGUGUAACAUGGGCUAACAGUGCACUCACCCUGUUGAGCCAAGUUCUGUUCUGAUAAGCUGCCAAUAACCUGAGCCACUGCAGUGUGAAAGGGAAGGCAGCACAUCAAGAACAGUGUCAUAUCCAGCUGUAGCUCAAGCCACAUUGCUUUAUCCAUCUACAAAGGGCAGUUCAUGGCAGGUAGAUUUUACCCCUUGCUAUGACUGUGUCUUACCACACACUACCAUUACCUCUUAUCUGAUUUCUGCACAAAUUUCCAAGUUGAAUAAAUUGGAUGUAUUUUUUAGCAUUUAAAAUUCCAGGUGGCAAAAUAAACACAUAUACAGGAGAGAAUUAAAUAUAAUGAGAAAAUGAAUAAAGCACACCACCAAGCAUUUUAAAUAUUAGCCUUUGGUUGAGAGGCCUUUGGUUUGAUCUCUGAUAUCGAUAUAUCCAAUGCCAUGUUUCUUGUGUGAUAAUUUAUUUCGCAUCAGAGACCAAACAAGCUCUGCAAAGUCAAAUUGAAAUUUAAACAAGUGUUGUUUGGCAUCUUUAGUUUGUGUUAGACCAGGUGGCAGCUGUUGGGAGAUCGUUUUGUUUUAACAACUUUUUGUUUUGUUAGCAAAGAAAAACAUUGUCCAGCCAAAUCCUGCUGACAGUGAAUAAAUAUUUCUCCUCCAUCAGACCAAAUAUUUUCAUUUGCCAUCCUAAUAGCUAGGGCUAAAAGAUCUAAAAGAAUUUUUCUUUAUAUAUGGACUCAAAUACAUUUGAAAGGUUUGGUGUUUCAUGGGAGGUGAUUAUUACUCUGUACUCUGCACUGCUGAGGUUAGUAUGGAGUACUGCACCACACUUUGGUCAUUAUACACCCAAAACUGGAGAGAUUUGUAAGGAAAGCAAACAAAAGGCAGAAAACAGGACCUCUGCAGAAUGACUGAGGAAAGCAGAACAUCAAAGAAGUUUAUUGACAAAUCUUCUCAUGUGUACAAGACAGUAAUGAUGAUGUACUGGCACUGGGUCUAGGAAAAAUUGACCAAACAUGAGCCUGAGCAAAUCUAUGGAGCAGGAUUCCAUCAGAACCUGUUAAGGUGACAUCCACCACCACUGGGUCAAGAAGUUCCUGAGCCACAAAUAUCUGAGGAAUAGUUUGGAGAAUAUCCCUACACAAUAGUUUCCCUCAGCAUCUGUUUAGUCCCUGUCACAGACAAGAUCUCAGAGCAGCCUGGCUCUUUACACUGACCAAGUGCCAUUCUCUCACUCUGCUCAGAUGAGAUAGUAUGGAAUCUGUUAAUGCGAAAAAACAGUUAGCUCUGGGAACAAGCCACUUGCAGAACUACAGUCACCCUUCACAAUAUAGUUUAAAGCCCAAGGGCAGUUUAGUGUACUUGUUCUCUUGUUUGUUAAAAAAAAAAAAAAAAGGAAAAA